UCUGUAGACCCGCGAGCGCGAAAAGCACGCUCGGAAGCGAACGAACCUAACGCUCUACUACGCCUAGAGACAGUCGCGAGACACAGUUCGUCAUCGUACAGGAGGGAAAACAAUAUGCAUGACGUUCUCGCAAGCUAUUCGUCAGCUAUUCUGCAAGCUGUUCUUUCAUUUCUUGUCUUCUGUUUCUUUUUUUUUUCUUCGUCUCGUUACGAGGAGCCUUCCGCGCGAGAAAGUCGAAAGUAGAGGAGAACGUAGAGAAAGGAUACAAGUUGAGAGGAGUCCGAAAGAACUAUGCGAACAUCACAGACGAAAGAAUCUACGGACGGUGUGUGAAGUGCGCUUUUGGUACACGGCGAAUUUGCGGUAAGCAAAUUAGCAGCUCAGCAUGUUUUAACAUUCGUCCAUAGAUCUUUCGUCCGCGAACAUGAAAUUACUUCGCGGCUGUGCACGUUCGCGUGAGUUCUAUCGGCUGAUUGGCGAUAAUGGGUGUCGUACAGAAAGAGAUAGACAGAGUGUUAGAGAAAGAGAGAGAGAAAGAGAGAGAGACAGAGAGAGAUAUGGUUGAUGAUGGUGGCGGCUGCUGCGGUGGUUUUCUUUUUCAUAGCUGGCAGUGGUGCAGUUAAAUGCAGUGCUGUGAGGUGCAGGCACACGCGCAUAUAAGUAGUGCAGUAGUAGUAGUAGUAGUAGUGAUGACAGUAGUAGGUAGUAGUAGUAGAUAAGGUAGUCCAUUACAGGCGGACACAGGUUAAUGGUAAAAUAGUUACCCGGGCCUUGGCGCUGCCUGAGUGAUCUCCGCUCGCGGAGGAGGAAGGACUCACCCGGUUUCCACCGAGGUUGCUCACCACGCAGGUGAAGUCUGUUUCAGGGGAAAUUGAGUCUGGACGAGGUUCGCGAUGGCGCGCGCCUUAGGAAUUAGUUUAUUACUGGACAAACACCGUGGCUCGAGAUCCCCGAACACCUGUAACGGCAGGUGAUGGCGCGCCCGUCUGGGACUGACAGACGCUCCCUGGACUCCUUAAUGCGUUUAACGUUCCCUGAGGCUACGUCUAGGGGACGGUCAUUUCACUCGAAGGAUAAGGAUCAAGCAAGGAAUAACGAGGAGGAUGAUUGGUUCGAGUACGAGAGGAUUUUUAAUGUUGGAACCAGUGGGAACACUUAGAGUCUUAGUUAUUGGUGCAAUAAUAGGGGUUGUUAUUGAAUUUACAAGCAAUCAAAGUCUUGCUGAAAUAACUGUUGAUGAAAGGAGUUGUACUCCGCGUAUCGAUUACGAAUUUUAAUAAAAAUUACGAGAAACGAUAGAUCAGCCCAGUUCGCGGAUGUUAAACAACCAAAUAUGAUAUCAGUGUACAAUAUUUAAUGUUCACGUUCUAGGUAUGCACCGCAGUAUGAUAAUCACGUGGAAAAUAUUUCUGUUCGUGUAUUUCCCACAGUACGUAAGCAUGCUUUCGUUCCAGAUAACUCCGACCCCCUACCGGGUUCCUCUAUUAAAGUCUGUUUCAUUCCAUUGAAAAGCUUGAAGCACCGCUGCUUACUAUUCAAUUCUAUUUUUCCUCUCGUGCAUAAACCGCGGAGUUCUGCCUGAUAAACGCGAUCUCAUAAAGUAAAGUGCCAUUCGAUGUGAUAAACGCGAGUUAUCUCGUUUCGAACUGUGCCAGUGCGGUAUGUAAGUCGCAUCUAAGAAAUGAGAGUAUCAUUGGAAAGCGAAAUAUAAUCGAACGAUACCGUACAAAAAGUAUCAAACUGAAAAAGAAAAAGAAAAACCAUUUUUAUUUAGUUCAAGCUGCCGGACAAUUUAUUAGGGACAAAGGAGAUGUCGCCCAAAUAGACGCGACAAAACUUUCCCACAGAGCUGAUAGUAAUUAACUAUGCGCGUAAAGGGCCCCCAAGAAAGUCUAAUUUUCAGGGACAGUGGACUUCUUAAAAGAAUGUUAUCAGCAAAGCAAGCAUCGUUGAAAAGCUUUACUACCGCAAACCCCAGUUGCUUUAUCUACGUUGAUACAGGGUUGCACAGAUAUGCGACGUUUAUUACAUGUAAGAUAUAAUUAUUCUUGUAACAACUCGUGUAUAGUUUCACGAUUGAAAAACUGAAUAAUGCUGCACCACGCUAAAAGACCCAAAACAUCAGGAAAUUUAAAGGACGUAAGGGAUUAAAAACUGAAUUCCUGGGGCGGAACGUCCCUUGCAAAAAAGCACCAGAGAUAACAUUACUCCAAGUCGUAGAGCAGUAAGAUAACCGCGCACAUAACUAAUGUUCAGGGUUAUGGAUUAAAGUAUUCGCCACGAUAAUCGUUGGUUUUCGCUUUUUCCCUUGACCGAGAGAUACGAGGAAUACUUUGGUGAAAUUUUGGUUUCCUCAAACACUAUACUACUCGAAAGCAACGUUUUAAAUAUUUAUCGACACGUGGUUCACUCCUAUCGCAUCAUAGUAUACUAAUUCAAGAAUUAAUAAAUUUAUGUUCUCUGUUAAUUUUCAACGAAGUAGCAGUUGACGUGUCGCGUGGACCACCGUGUAUAUGAAGUUAAUGGGAGCGAACGAUCGGUGUAAUUCGCGAUAAAAGAAACUGCAAUCAAUGUUCAAACAAACGCGUAUUUUCCGGCUAAAUUAAAUCACUUGCAUUUUAACCGAGUGUGUAAUUUAGUUGGCGAAAAUCCCGCGAAUAAUUUACUUUCCACUCGUUCGUUGAGCAACUGCUUUUCGAAAUUACUCACAGGAAAAACGUGAUUUCCAAUCAAUGGAAAUAUACUCGCGGCGCGUCGUAAUUGUUAAUGAACGAGCCCGCACAUAAUGCAACGCCAAUACUUCUGAUUAAUCGCUGAUAAAAUUAUGUACAGCGGAUAUAUUCUGCCAGGAAUGCUCGAUGAAUUACGUCGGCAAGCGUUUUGAAUUUGAAAAUGAACUUUCAUUAUUCAAUCACAUGGAACCAGAAGGAUUUCGUAAAUUAUACGGUAUCCAAACUAUUCGGAAGAAUGGGGUUUCGUCGGUUGAAAGAGAAGAUGUGACGUAGAACAAAUUCGUCUGUGUGGACAAUUGUCUGUCGUGUCUAGAUAGCAGUAUUUCGCGAAAUCGAAUAUUCCCUGGCGUUAUAUAUUGAACCACGUGUCCCACGGUAUACACAAUCGCAACGAAUCAAGUUAAAUUAUCUAAAUCGUGUGUAAAUCGGAUGCACGAUGAAAUUGGUCGAUAAAUUGUUUAAUCAAGUAGAAGCGAUAAAUUGAUUUGCUGCAAAGUUGAAUGCAGCAUGGUAUUUUCAAACAUAUUGUGGAUAAAUCAAUUACGUGGUAGAAAUUACAGGUCGCAUGCCAGCAUUUGCAUUUGGUGCAACAGUAUAUUGGCGAUUGUAAAAUCGGAUAUUUCAGAUUUCUGAACAAAUAUAAUAUUGUUUCAAAGUUUGGUGCGUACUAUAGUUUUGAAAUUAAAUGGACUUCUUCUCGUGCACGAACAAAUGUUUCAUUGAAAUUCUUAACCCUGUGUAUCAGAGUUGAUACACAACUCUGAAACUGCUAACCGAAACGACAGUUAUGUCAUCGAACAUAUAUCACGAACGACCAGCGAAAUAAAGGCGCGUUCAAUAAAAUACUCGGCCACUCGGUGCUACGAAAAGAAACUGAUUCGUCGAG
Long non-coding RNA from Hylaeus volcanicus, 3618 nucleotides. RefSeq lists it as uncharacterized. NCBI's taxonomy places the organism in Eukaryota, Metazoa, Arthropoda, Insecta, Hymenoptera, Colletidae. The transcript has 3 exons. The record is from RefSeq and is a predicted model, not a curated record.